This is a non-coding RNA of Pelobates cultripes (western spadefoot toad), 210 nucleotides long. Lineage: Eukaryota; Metazoa; Chordata; Amphibia; Anura; Pelobatidae. The record is from the annotation of a GenBank genome assembly.
GGGGAUACUCUAUAUAAGAGGAGGUAAAGGAGAUCUCACAGUGAGGUUAGGAGGAGAUACUUGUUACAAAAGACUGGAAAUCACUAUGUUGCUGUUUUAACUCACCGAGUGAUACUGUUUGCCACUGCAUAAGUUAAGCAGAAAACCACACGAAUGGAUUAUGCGAACCCUUAUCAAGGCUCCAUUCGUGGUACGAACGGGGGGACCCCC